This 1391-nucleotide ribosomal RNA is filed under the name uncultured bacterium. RNAcentral's name for it is "16S ribosomal RNA". It matches the Rfam family "Bacterial small subunit ribosomal RNA". The record is from RNAcentral.
AGUCGAGGGGCAGCAUUUUAGUUUGCUUGCAAACUAAAGAUGGCGACCGGCGCACGGGUGAGUAACACGUAUCCAACCUGCCGAUAACUCGGGGAUAGCCUUUCGAAAGAAAGAUUAAUAUCCGAUGGUAUAUUAAAACCGCAUGGUUUUACUAUUAAAGAAUUUCGGUUAUCGAUGGGGAUGCGUUCCAUUAGUUUGUUGGCGGGGUAACGGCCCACCAAGACUACGAUGGAUAGGGGUUCUGAGAGGAAGGUCCCCCACAUUGGAACUGAGACACGGUCCAAACUCCUACGGGAGGCAGCAGUGAGGAAUAUUGGUCAAUGGACGAGAGUCUGAACCAGCCAAGUAGCGUGAAGGAUGACUGCCCUAUGGGUUGUAAACUUCUUUUAUAUGGGAAUAAAGUAUUCCACGUGUGGAAUUUUGUAUGUACCAUAUGAAUAAGGAUCGGCUAACUCCGUGCCAGCAGCCGCGGUAAUACGGAGGAUCCGAGCGUUAUCCGGAUUUAUUGGGUUUAAAGGGAGCGUAGGUGGAUUGUUAAGUCAGUUGUGAAAGUUUGCGGCUCAACCGUAAAAUUGCAGUUGAAACUGGCAGUCUUGAGUACAGUAGAGGUGGGCGGAAUUCGUGGUGUAGCGGUGAAAUGCUUAGAUAUCACGAAGAACUCCGAUUGCGAAGGCAGCUCACUAGACUGCAACUGACACUGAUGCUCGAAAGUGUGGGUAUCAAACAGGAUUAGAUACCCUGGUAGUCCACACAGUAAACGAUGAAUACUCGCUGUUUGCGAUAUACAGUAAGCGGCCAAGCGAAAGCAUUAAGUAUUCCACCUGGGGAGUACGCCGGCAACGGUGAAACUCAAAGGAAUUGACGGGGGCCCGCACAAGNCGGAGGAACAUGUGGUUUAAUUCGAUGAUACGCGAGGAACCUUUACCCGGGCUUAAAUUGCAUUUGAAUAAUCUGGAAACAGGUUAGCCGCAAGGCAAAUGUGAAGGUGCUGCAUGGUUGUCGUCAGCUCGUGCCGUGAGGUGUCGGCUUAAGUGCCAUAACGAGCGCAACCCUUAUCUUUAGUUACUAACAGGUCAUGCUGAGGACUCUAGAGAGACUGCCGUCGUAAGAUGUGAGGAAGGUGGGGAUGACGUCAAAUCAGCACGGCCCUUACGUCCGGGGCUACACACGUGUUACAAUGGGGGGUACAGAAGGCAGCUACCUGGCGACAGGAUGCUAAUCCCAAAAACCUCUCUCAGUUCGGAUCGAAGUCUGCAACCCGACUUCGUGAAGCUGGAUUCGCUAGUAAUCGCGCAUCAGCCAUGGCGCGGUGAAUACGUUCCCGGGCCUUGUACACACCGCCCGUCAAGCCAUGAAAGCCGGGGGUACCUGAAGUACGUAACCGCAAGGAG